Molecule: unclassified non-coding RNA, 215 nt
Filed under: soil metagenome
Description: partial contains 5.8S ribosomal RNA, internal transcribed spacer 2, and large subunit ribosomal RNA
Source: RNAcentral
AACCAUAGAAACCUGCGGAGUACCUGCGGAAGGAUCAUUACAAGUGACCCCGGUCUAACCACCGGGAUGUUCAUAACCCUUUGUUGUCCGACUCUGUUGCCUCCGGGGCGACCCUGCCUUCGGGCGGGGGCUCCGGGUGGACACUUCAAACUCUUGCGUAACUUUGCAGUCUGAGUAAACUUAAUUAAUAAAUUAAAACUUUUAACAACGGAUCU